CCUACGGGUGGCUGCAGUGGGGGAUAUUGGGCAAUGGGCGCAAGCCUGACCCAGCAACGCCGCGUGAAGGAAGAAGGCUUUCGGGUUGUAAACUUCUGUUCUCAGGGACGAAGAAAGUGACGGUACCUGAGGAAUAAGCCACGGCAAACUACGUGCCAGCAGCCGCGGUAAUACGGGGGAUGCGAGAGUUAUCCGGAUUUAUUGGGUUUAAGGGGUGCGCAGGCGGGAGAUCAAGUCAGAGGUAAAAUUGGGAGGCUCAACCUCUUCGAGCCGUUGAAACUGGUUUUCUUGAGUGAGGGAGAAGCAUGCGGAAUGCGUGGUGUAGCGGUGAAAUGCAUAGAUAUCACGCAGAACUCCGAUUGCGAAGGCAGCAUACCGGCGCUCAACUGACGCUCAUGCACGAAAGUGUGGGUAGCGAACAGGAUUAGAUACCCCAGUAGUC
This 442-nucleotide ribosomal RNA is filed under the name uncultured bacterium. RNAcentral's name for it is "partial 16S ribosomal RNA". It matches the Rfam family "Bacterial small subunit ribosomal RNA", at positions 338 to 795 of the family's 1533-position model. The record is from RNAcentral.